AACGGCCAUACCAUGCUGAAUAUACCGGUUCUCGUUAGAUCACCGAAGUCAAGCAUCAUUGGGCGCGGUCAGUGCUUGGGUGGGUGACCACCUG
RNAcentral lists this ribosomal RNA (94 nucleotides) under Caerostris darwini. Lineage: Eukaryota; Metazoa; Arthropoda; Arachnida; Araneae; Araneidae. The record is from RNAcentral.